GAAGUUUCAGGUUGGCGCCUCCAGGCCGCCACGGCACACGAAACAGCGUUGGUCCCCCUAUAUGAGCGUACAUAAGCUGCUUAACGCGGCCGGAAGGAUGCUACAUAUAUCAGGUCUGUUUCGUGUGCUGAAUUGUUGACGCAUUUAUUUAUUGGUAUCGC
Molecule: small RNA, 161 nt
Filed under: Citrobacter amalonaticus
Lineage: Bacteria; Pseudomonadati; Pseudomonadota; Gammaproteobacteria; Enterobacterales; Enterobacteriaceae
Description: rncO
Rfam family: rncO
About the family: This family represents a bacterial regulatory element (rncO) found in the rnc leader sequence.
Source: RNAcentral